UACGUAGGGCGCAAGCGUUGUCCGGAAUUAUUGGGCGUAAAGAGCUCGUAGGCGGCUUGUCACGUCGAUUGUGAAAGCCCCGAGGCUUAACCUCGGGUCUGCAGUCGAUACGGGCUAGCUAGAGUGUGGUAGGGGAGAUCGGAAUUCCUGGUGUAGCGGUGAAAUGCGUAGAUAUCAGGAGGAACACCGGCGGUGUAGACGGCUCUCUGGACCGUAACUGACGCGAGAUACGAAAGCGUGGGUAGCAAACAGG
This 253-nucleotide ribosomal RNA is filed under the name uncultured bacterium. RNAcentral's name for it is "partial 16S ribosomal RNA". It matches the Rfam family "Bacterial small subunit ribosomal RNA", at positions 524 to 776 of the family's 1533-position model. The record is from RNAcentral.